UUACUUACCUGGCAGGGGAGAUACGAUGAUUACGAAGGUGGUUUCCCAGGGCGAGGCUUAUCCAUUUGCACUCUGGAAUGUGCUGACCCCUGCGAUUUCCCCAAAGUGGGAAUACAUCGACGCAUUAAUUUGUGGUUAGUUGGGGGAUCUUGCGUACGCGUUCGGCUCCUC
RNAcentral lists this small nuclear RNA (171 nucleotides) under Pongo abelii (Sumatran orangutan). RNAcentral's name for it is "U1 spliceosomal RNA (ENSPPYG00000031347.1)". It matches the Rfam family "U1 spliceosomal RNA". Rfam says of the family: U1 is a small nuclear RNA (snRNA) component of the spliceosome (involved in pre-mRNA splicing). Its 5' end forms complementary base pairs with the 5' splice junction, thus defining the 5' donor site of an intron. Lineage: Eukaryota; Metazoa; Chordata; Mammalia; Primates; Hominidae. The record is from Rfam by way of RNAcentral.